CAAGUCGAACGAUGAAGUUCCUUCGGGAAUGGAUUAGUGGCGAACGGGUGAGGAACACGUGAGAAACCUGCCUUUCAUUCUGGGAUAACACCGGGAAACCGGUGCUAAUACCGGAUACUCCGUCUUGGCGGCAUCGCCGAGCCGGGAAAAAAUUUUGAUGAAAGAUGGUCUCGCGGCCUAUCAGCUAGUUGGUGAGGUAAAGGCUCACCAAGGCGACGACGGGUAGCCGGCCUGAGAGGGCGACCGGCCACACUGGGACUGAGACACGGCCCAGACUCCUACGAGAGGCAGCAGUAGGGAAUAUUGGGCAAUGGGCGCAAGCCUGACCCAGCGACGCCGCGUGAGGGAUGAAGGUCUUCGGAUUGUAAACCUCUUUCAGUAGGGAAGAAGCGAAAGUGACGGUACCUAAAGAAGAAGCACCGGCUAACUAUGUGCCAGCAGCCGCGGUAAUACAUAGGGUGCAAGCGUUGUCCGGAAUUAUUGGGCGUAAAGAGCUCGUAGGUCGUUUGUCGCGUCGAUUGUGAAAAUCUGAGGCUCAACCUCAGACCUGCAGUCGAUACGGGCAAACUAGAGUGUGGUAGGGGAGACUGGAAUUCCUGGUGUAGCGGUGGAAUGCGCAGAUAUCAGGAGGAACACCAAUGGCGAAGGCAGGUCUCUGGGCCAUAACUGACACUGAGGAGCGAAAGUGCGGGGAGCGAACAGGAUUAGAUACCCUGGUAGUCCGCACCGUAAACGGUGGGCACUAGUUGUGGGAACCUUCCACGGUUUCCGCGACGCAGCUAACGCAUUAAGUGCCCCGCCUGGGGAGUACGAUCGCAAGAUUAAAACUCAAAGGAAUUGACGG
RNAcentral lists this ribosomal RNA (844 nucleotides) under uncultured bacterium. RNAcentral describes it as "bacterial SSU rRNA". It matches the Rfam family "Bacterial small subunit ribosomal RNA", at positions 58 to 916 of the family's 1533-position model. The record is from RNAcentral.